Molecule: ribosomal RNA, 696 nt
Filed under: uncultured bacterium
Lineage: Bacteria
Description: bacterial SSU rRNA
Rfam family: Bacterial small subunit ribosomal RNA
Source: RNAcentral
AACGCUAGCUACAGGCUUAACACAUGCAAGUCGAGGGGAAACGACAUCGAAAGCUUGCUUUUGAUGGGCGUCGACCGGCGCACGGGUGAGUAACGCGUAUCCAACCUGCCCACCACUUGGGGAUAACCUUGCGAAAGUAAGACUAAUACCCAAUGAUAUCUCUAGAAGACAUCUGAAAGAGAUUAAAGAUUUAUCGGUGAUGGAUGGGGAUGCGUCUGAUUAGCUUGUUGGCGGGGUAACGGCCCACCAAGGCGACGAUCAGUAGGGGUUCUGAGAGGAAGGUCCCCCACAUUGGAACUGAGACACGGUCCAAACUCCUACGGGAGGCAGCAGUGAGGAAUAUUGGUCAAUGGGCGAGAGCCUGAACCAGCCAAGUAGCGUGCAGGAUGACGGCCCUAUGGGUUGUAAACUGCUUUUAUAAGGGAAUAAAGUUAGUCUUGUGAGACUUUUUGCAUGUACCUUAUGAAUAAGGACCGGCUAAUUCCGUGCCAGCAGCCGCGGUAAUACGGAAGGUCCGGGCGUUAUCCGGAUUUAUUGGGUUUAAAGGGAGCGUAGGCCGGAGAUUAAGCGUGUUGUGAAAUGUAGACGCUCAACGUCUGCACUGCAGCGCGAACUGGUUUCCUUGAGUACGCACAAAGUGGGCGGAAUUCGUGGUGUAGCGGUGAAAUGCUUAGAUAUCACGAAGAACUCCGAUUG